This 823-nucleotide ribosomal RNA is filed under the name uncultured bacterium. RNAcentral describes it as "bacterial SSU rRNA". It matches the Rfam family "Bacterial small subunit ribosomal RNA", at positions 566 to 1383 of the family's 1533-position model. The record is from RNAcentral.
GGUGCGCAGGCGGGAAAGUAAGUCAGUGGUGAAAAACUGCCGCUCAACGGUAGUCGUGCCAUUGAUACUGCUUUUCUUGAGUUUGGAUGAGGUAGGCGGAAUGUGCAGUGUAGCGGUGAAAUGCAUAGAUAUUGCGCAGAACACCAAUUGCGAAGGCAGCUUACUAAUCCACGACUGACGCUGAGGCACGAAAGCGUGGGGAGCGAACAGGAUUAGAUACCCUGGUAGUCCACGCCGUAAACGAUGUUCACUCGCUGUUUGCGAUACACAGUAAGCGGCUUAGCGAAAGCAUUAAGUGAACCACCUGGGGAGUACGAUCGCAAGGUUGAAACUCAAAGGAAUUGACGGGGGCCCGCACAAGCGGAGGAACAUGUGGUUUAAUUCGAUGAUACGCGAGGAACCUUACCUGGGGCUUAAAUGUAGAGUGCAUGCGGUGGAAACACCCUUCCCUUCGGGGCUCUCUGCAAGGUGCUGCAUGGUUGUCGUCAGCUCGUGCCGUGAGGUGUCGGGUUAAGUCCGCAUAACGAGCGCAACCCUUUACCGUUAGUUGCCCAACAGGUUAAGCUGGGGGACUCUAGCGGGACUGCCACCGUAAGGUGAGAGGAAGGUGGGGAUGACGUCCAAAUCAGCACGGCCCCUUAUGUCCAGGGCUACACACGUGUUACAUGGGCCGGGACAGAGGGGCAGCUUCUCCCCGAGGGAGAUGCUAAUCCUUCAAAGCCGGUCUCAGUUUCGGAUUGGAAUGCUGCACCCCACCUCCUGAAGUUGGAUUUCCUAGUCUCGUAUAUCGGCAAUGGUACGGUGAAAUACUUCCCGGGCCUUG